UCUCCGUAGGUGAACCUGCGGAAGGAUCAUUAUUGUAUAACCGAGGUGCGAGGGCUGUCGCUGACCCGAAAGGUCGUGCACGCCCGAGUGCCCUCACACACAUCCAUCUCACCCCCUAUGUGCACCACCGCGUGGGUCCCCCUUUGGCUUGUUCGGAGGGGGGCUUACGUUUUCACACAAACUUUGUAUGCAGUGUAGAAUGUAUUUUUUGUUUUUGCGAUCACGCAAUCAAUACAACUUUCAACAACGGAUCUCUUGGCUCUC
RNAcentral lists this unclassified non-coding RNA (264 nucleotides) under plant metagenome. Its description in RNAcentral is "partial contains small subunit ribosomal RNA, internal transcribed spacer 1, and 5.8S ribosomal RNA". The record is from RNAcentral.